GUAUUUCAGAGAGAAGCUCUAAAGCUGCAGAGGAUGAGACCAACGGGCCUGGAAAACACUUCAGAGACAUAUAAAGGCAAGAAAAAGCACUGCUCUGCAAAAAACUAAUGAUGUCUUUCAAGUUUUCAGCCUUCUCCUUGGAUGAGGAUGUAUUCUUUAUUUAACCGUUGAACCGGCUGAUCCCUGUGAUCCCACCUGAGGCCACCUGGUGGCGUCUAGUCAUCAGCUGAAUGAGAAUAUAGGUUGCUCAGGCCUCCUGUGUAACAUUUCUAACAGAAAACAAAGCAGGUCACACAGUGCAAGAACAGC
This is a long non-coding RNA of Centropristis striata (black sea bass), 309 nucleotides long. RefSeq lists it as uncharacterized. The transcript has 3 exons. Lineage: Eukaryota; Metazoa; Chordata; Actinopteri; Perciformes; Serranidae. The record is from RefSeq and is a predicted model, not a curated record.